RNAcentral lists this ribosomal RNA (429 nucleotides) under Acidobacteriota bacterium. Its description in RNAcentral is "Acidobacteria bacterium partial 16S ribosomal RNA". It matches the Rfam family "Bacterial small subunit ribosomal RNA", at positions 355 to 776 of the family's 1533-position model. The record is from RNAcentral. Lineage: Bacteria; Pseudomonadati; Acidobacteriota.
UGGGGAAUUUUGGACAAUGGGGGAAACCCUGAUCCAGCCAUCCCGCGUGUGCGAUGAAGGCCUUCGGGUUGUAAAGCACUUUUGGCAGGAAAGAAACGUCAUGGGUUAAUACCCCGUGAAACUGACGGUACCUGCAGAAUAAGCACCGGCUAACUACGUGCCAGCAGCCGCGGUAAUACGUAGGGUGCAAGCGUUAAUCGGAAUUACUGGGCGUAAAGCGUGCGCAGGCGGUUCGGAAAGAAAGAUGUGAAAUCCCAGAGCUCAACUUUGGAACUGCAUUUUUAACUACCGGGCUAGAGUGUGUCAGAGGGAGGUGGAAUUCCGCGUGUAGCAGUGAAAUGCGUAGAUAUGCGGAGGAACACCGAUGGCGAAGGCAGCCUCAAGGAAUAACACUGACGAUCAUGCACGAAAGCGUGGGGAGCAAACAGG